This 959-nucleotide long non-coding RNA is filed under the name Homo sapiens (human). RNAcentral's name for it is "uncharacterized LOC105377603, transcript variant 5 (LOC105377603)". The record is from RNAcentral. Lineage: Eukaryota; Metazoa; Chordata; Mammalia; Primates; Hominidae.
ACUGCGGCUGCGCCGCUUACCCGCACACAGACGGUUGGCAGAGGAAGAAAGCCUUGUCACACUAAAGGAGAGACAGCGGAUGUUCUGAACAGUCCUGUCGUGAAACGUUAGACAACGUGGACGAAACAGGCACAUUCCUAAGCAUCACACAUUACUGAAACUCAGUCAAGAAGAAAUAGAAAAUCUGAAUACAUCCAUGGCAAGCACAGAAACUGAACUAGGGGAUUCGAAAUCUUCCCACAAAGAAAAGCCUAGGCCCAACUGGCCUCUAUGAUACAGCAAGAAGGUGCCAUCUAUGAAGGAGAAGACAAGCCCUCACCAGACACCAAAUCUGCUGAUGCUUUGAUCUUGGACUUCCCAGCCUCCAGAACUUUUCAGACUUUGGACAACAUGUAGCCCAGGACAGUGAUCCCUGAGAAAAGGAAGACAAAUGAGGUGACACUGUGAUAGACCCAGAUCAACGCCUGGAAAAAGUUUCAAAGCUACAAUGUGAGGAGUGGGGACAAAACAGUCUAGUGGCUUUGCUGAGUGGAGAAGGCAAGUACUGGAGUCCAGGCAAAGUAUUGGUGAAGGUGGAGCCCUGGAGAAAAAGAACUCUAGAGAUCUGUAAGAGGCUCUCCUUGAAACUUCUACUGAGCACAGUUCUGCACAUGCAUGUAUAGAAUUUACUCAAGAUGAAGAAAGAACCAACGAAAAAAAGCAUAGUAUAAUGCUGAGAACUCAUAAAAUCGAGUAGGAAAUCUUGCCUAUUGAAAGAGCAUUGAGACAGAGUCCUCAGAAGGAAUUUUCUCAGUGGUGGGAACAAAUUAGCUAUAAACCCAAGUUUGCUCUGAUAUUGCUAUAACAAAGCUUAAAAGCAACUCUCAAAAGGCUCAAACUGAGUACAAAACAUCUAAUUGUAACCCAGGGUACUUCCCAACAGUAUUCAAGGGAAUAAAAUAUUUUGUGUAUAUUUUGUA